GAUGAACGCUGGCGGCGUGCCUAAUACAUGCAAGUCGAGCGAACAGACGAGGAGCUUGCUCCUCUGACGUUAGCGGCGGACGGGUGAGUAACACGUGUAUAACCUACCUAUAAGACUGGGAUAACUUCGGGAAACGGGAGCUAAUACCGGAUAAUAUAUUGAACCGCAUGGUUCAAUAGUGAAAGACGGUUUUGCUGUCACUUAUAGAUGGAUCCGCGCCGCAUUGGCUAGUUGGUAAGUUAACGGCUUACCAAGGCUACGAGGCGUAGCCGACCGGAGAGGGGGGUCGGCCACACGGGAAGUGAGACACGGUCCAGACUCCUACGGGAGGCAGCAGUAGGGAAUCUUCCGCAAUAGGCGAAAGCCUGACGGAGCAACGCCGCGUGAGUGAUGAAGGUCUUCGGAUCGUAAAACUCUGUUAUGAGGGAAGAACAAAUGUGUAAGUAACUAUGCACGUCUUGACGGUACCUAAUCAGAAAGCCACGGCUAACUACGUG
Molecule: ribosomal RNA, 497 nt
Filed under: uncultured bacterium
Lineage: Bacteria
Description: partial 16S ribosomal RNA
Rfam family: Bacterial small subunit ribosomal RNA
Source: RNAcentral